GAAGAAUUGCGCGGCGCGUAAUUGACGAAGGCGUAGCCGCGCGACUGAUCGAUGCAGUGAAACAGAGGAUUCCAGUCGAACAUGGCAAGCAGUUGUGGGCUCAGUGUGUUGGCAACGAACAUUUUGCCCGAUGCGAUCAUGUUGGCACGCUG
This 152-nucleotide non-coding RNA is filed under the name Planktotalea frisia. Its description in RNAcentral is "Rhodobacteraceae bacterium SH6-1 Ruegeria cis2 sRNA". It matches the Rfam family "Ruegeria cis2 sRNA". Rfam says of the family: Cis-encoded. Lineage: Bacteria; Pseudomonadati; Pseudomonadota; Alphaproteobacteria; Rhodobacterales; Paracoccaceae. The record is from Rfam by way of RNAcentral.